AGAGUUUGAUCAUGGCUCAGAGCGAACGCUGGCGGCAGGCUUAACACAUGCAAGUCGAGCGGGCGUAGCAAUACGUCAGCGGCAGACGGGUGAGUAACGCGUGGGAACGUACCUUUUGGUUCGGAACAACACAGGGAAACUUGUGCUAAUACCGGAUAAGCCCUUACGGGGAAAGAUUUAUCGCCGAAAGAUCGGCCCGCGUCUGAUUAGCUAGUUGGUGAGGUAAUGGCUCACCAAGGCGACGAUCAGUAGCUGGUCUGAGAGGAUGAUCAGCCACAUUGGGACUGAGACACGGCCCAAACUCCUACGGGAGGCAGCAGUGGGGAAUAUUGGACAAUGGGCGCAAGCCUGAUCCAGCCAUGCCGCGUGAGUGAUGAAGGCCCUAGGGUUGUAAAGCUCUUUUGUGCGGGAAGAUAAUGACGGUACCGCAAGAAUAAGCCCCGGCUAACUUCGUGCCAGCAGCCGCGGUAAUAC
RNAcentral lists this ribosomal RNA (474 nucleotides) under uncultured bacterium. RNAcentral describes it as "bacterial SSU rRNA". It matches the Rfam family "Bacterial small subunit ribosomal RNA", at positions 8 to 526 of the family's 1533-position model. The record is from RNAcentral.